This 423-nucleotide ribosomal RNA is filed under the name uncultured bacterium. RNAcentral describes it as "bacterial SSU rRNA". It matches the Rfam family "Bacterial small subunit ribosomal RNA", at positions 202 to 622 of the family's 1533-position model. The record is from RNAcentral.
AAGACCUUGUGCUUUUGGAGCGGCCGAUGCCUGAUUAGCUAGUUGGUAAGGUAAAGGCUUACCAAGGCUUCGAUCAGUAGUUGGUCUGAGAGGACGACCAGCCACACUGGGACUGAGACACGGCCCAGACUCCUACGGGAGGCAGCAGUGGGGAAUUUUGGACAAUGGGGGAAACCCUGAUCCAGCCAUGCCGCGUGAGUGAAGAAGGCCUUCGGGUUGUAAAGCUCUUUCAGUUGGGAAGAAAAGAUUACGACUAAUAAUCGUGAUUCAUGACGGUAUCAACAGAAGAAGCACCGGCUAACUACGUGCCAGCAGCCGCGGUAAUACGUAGGGUGCAAGCGUUAAUCGGAAUUACUGGGCGUAAAGGGUGCGCAGGCGGUCUUGUAAGUCAGAUGUGAAAUCCCCGGGCUUAACCUGGGAACU